Non-coding RNA from Ameiurus melas (black bullhead), 73 nucleotides. The record is from the annotation of a GenBank genome assembly. NCBI's taxonomy places the organism in Eukaryota, Metazoa, Chordata, Actinopteri, Siluriformes, Ictaluridae.
GGCAGGGUGGCUUAGUGAUUAGCAUGUUUGCUUCACAACUCCAGGAUUGCAGGUUCAAUUCCCGCCUCUGCCC